CAUAUAAGAGGUCCCGCCUGCCCUGUGACUUAGUAGUUUAACGGCCGCGGUAUUUUGACCGUGCGAAGGUAGCGUAAUCACUUGUCUUUUAAAUGGAGACCUGUAUGAAUGGCAUAACGAGGGCUAAGCUGUCUCCUUUUUCCAGUCAAUGAAAUUAAUCUUCCCGUGCAGAAGCGGGAAUUUACACAUAAGACGAGAAGACCCUAUGGAGCUUUAAACAAAAGGCAGCUCAUAUUAAAACAACCAGACAAAAGGAACAAACCAAAUGAUAUCUGCCCUUAUGUUUUUGGUUGGGGCGACCACGGAGGAACAAAAAUCCCCCAUGUGGAAUAGGAACUCUCCUUCCUCGAAACAAGAGCAACAGCUCUAAUAAACAGAACUUCUGACCUGCAAGAUCCGGCAAGACCGAUCAACGGACCGAGUUACCCUAGGGAUAACAGCGCAAUCCUCUUUUAGAGCCCAUAUCGACAAGAGGGUUUACGACCUCGAUGUUGGAUCAGGACAUCCUAAUGGUGCAGCCGCUAUUAAGGGUUCGUUUGUUCAACGAUUAAAGUCCUACGUGAUCUGAGUUCAGACCGGAGUAAUCCA
RNAcentral lists this ribosomal RNA (588 nucleotides) under Stiphodon hydroreibatus. Its description in RNAcentral is "partial 16S ribosomal RNA". It matches the Rfam family "Bacterial large subunit ribosomal RNA", at positions 1842 to 2628 of the family's 2925-position model. Lineage: Eukaryota; Metazoa; Chordata; Actinopteri; Gobiiformes; Gobiidae. The record is from RNAcentral.